RNAcentral lists this ribosomal RNA (253 nucleotides) under uncultured bacterium. Its description in RNAcentral is "partial 16S ribosomal RNA". It matches the Rfam family "Bacterial small subunit ribosomal RNA", at positions 524 to 776 of the family's 1533-position model. The record is from RNAcentral.
UCCGAAGGGUGCAAACGUUGCUCGGAAUUAUUGGGCGUAAAGCGCACGUAGGCGGCUUUGCAAGUCCGAUGUGAAAUCCCUCGGCUCAACCAAGGAAGUGCAUCGGAAACUGCAGAGCUUGAGUACGAAAGAGGAUCGCGGAAUUCCCGGUGUAGAGGUGAAAUUCGUAGAUAUCGGGAGGAACACCAGUGGCGAAGGCGGCGAUCGGGGUCGAUAUUGACGCUGAGGUGCGAAAGCGUGGGGAGCAAACAGG